AACGAACGCUGGCGGCAGGCCUAACACAUGCCAGUCGAGCGCCCCGCCAGGGAGGCGGCGGACGGGUGGGUAACGCGUGGGAAUAUGCCAUUUGCUACGGAAUAGACCCGGGAAACUGGGGGUAAUACCGUAUACGCCCUUUGGGGGAAAGAUUUAUCGGCGAAGGAUUAGACCGCGUUGGAUUAGGUAGUUGGUGUGGUAAUGGCCUACCAAGCCGACGACCCAUAGCUGGUUUGAGAGGAUGAUCAGCCACACUUGGACUGAGACACGGCCCAGACUCCUACGGGAGGCAGCAGUGGGGAAUCUUAGACAAUGGGGGCAACCCUGAUCUAGCCAUGCCGCGUGAGUGAUGAAGGCCUUAGGGUUGUAAAGCUCUUUCAGCUGGGAAGAUAAUGACGGUACCAGCAGAAGAAGCCCCGGCUAACUCCGUG
Molecule: ribosomal RNA, 431 nt
Filed under: uncultured bacterium
Lineage: Bacteria
Description: partial 16S ribosomal RNA
Rfam family: Bacterial small subunit ribosomal RNA
Source: RNAcentral